UGGGGAAUUGUGUAACGGUAGCACCUGCGACUCUGACUCGCAUUGUAUGGGUUCGAAUCCUAUUUCCCCAGCCA
Molecule: transfer RNA, 74 nt
Filed under: Bacillota bacterium
Lineage: Bacteria; Bacillati; Bacillota
Also listed under: 2 other names
Description: tRNA-Gln(ctg)
Rfam family: tRNA
About the family: Transfer RNA (tRNA) molecules are approximately 80 nucleotides in length.
Source: RNAcentral